This is a transfer RNA of 77 nucleotides. It matches the Rfam family "tRNA". Rfam says of the family: Transfer RNA (tRNA) molecules are approximately 80 nucleotides in length.
UGCGGGGUGGAGCAGUCUGGUAGCUCGUCGGGCUCAUAACCCGAAGGUCAUCGGUUCAAAUCCGGUCCCCGCUACGA